GGGGGCAUAGCUCAACGGUUAGAGCAGGCGGCUCAUAACCGCUUGGUUGUCGGUUCGAAUCCGGCUGCCCCUA
This 73-nucleotide transfer RNA is filed under the name Spartobacteria bacterium AMD-G4. RNAcentral's name for it is "tRNA-Met". It matches the Rfam family "tRNA". Rfam says of the family: Transfer RNA (tRNA) molecules are approximately 80 nucleotides in length. Their secondary structure includes four short double-helical elements and three loops (D, anti-codon, and T loops). Further hydrogen bonds mediate the characteristic L-shaped molecular structure. tRNAs have two regions of fundamental functional importance: the anti-codon, which is responsible for specific mRNA codon recognition, and the 3' end, to which the tRNAs corresponding amino acid is attached (by aminoacyl-tRNA synthetases). tRNAs cope with the degeneracy of the genetic code in two manners: having more than one tRNA (with a specific anti-codon) for a particular amino acid; and 'wobble' base-pairing, i.e. permitting non-standard base-pairing at the 3rd anti-codon position. Lineage: Bacteria; Pseudomonadati; Verrucomicrobiota; Spartobacteria. The record is from RNAcentral.